Molecule: long non-coding RNA, 424 nt
Organism: Asparagus officinalis (garden asparagus)
Lineage: Eukaryota; Viridiplantae; Streptophyta; Magnoliopsida; Asparagales; Asparagaceae
Exons: 2
Source: RefSeq, a predicted model, not a curated record
GUCAGAAGAGGUUCGUGGAGAUGGUUAACGCUACCGCCUACUGAUAUAUAUAUCGUCGUUACGUAUAUAUAUACGUAGUUGAGUUGGAGGAGAAAUACGAUCGACGCGCAUAUAUUAAUAUAUAUCUAGAUAUAUAUAUGCAUGUAUUUUAGUAUAGUUUUUUUUAGAUGCGGACGCCGCUUAAUUAUCUGGGGUUUGGGUUUUUUUUUACCGUUUGUUGUAUUGUCGGAGAAAUUGAGAGGAGGAGAUGUUAGAGGAACCCUUUUCGCAGGCUUCGUUUUUUGUCUCAAUGCUGGUGAUAUAAUGGGUGAAAGAUAUCCAACUUGCUUCUUCGGCCGCAGUUCUCUUAGCUUAGCGUGUGCUGUAGCUUUUUUCCCCUCUCUCUGUGUGUUAAUGUUACUAAUCAACGGGAUUAUGAUGUUAA